UUAUUGCUCAACGCUUCUCCUACCUCCUGCUUUCGUCUUUCCUUUCACCAUUUUACACUAAUUGGUUCUGUAUGUAUUUCCUUCUUAUGGGGCCUGAAGAUCUUUUGCUGUUUCGGCUUGCGAACGUGAGGAUUGCUCAUCAAUCGGGAUCCCUGAGGUCGAAAACGAAAGAGGGUAUCGCUCCAACCUUCGCAUUUCAUCGUCUUUUCUUGUGAAUGUUCAGCAGGGGCUCGUGACUCUGGUCAUUUUUGAGGAGGUUGGCAGGGACUGUUUUGCCCAUGUGUGCUAUUUGGUCGAAAUCUUGAAAAUUUGAGGGAAGUCAUUCCGUGGACUAGGCCUUGUAUUUGUCAUGCCAUAUUUGUUGAGGGCGGCACAGCACGUUCAACAGCAACUGCAAUACUCCAUCACCGUGGCAUUGAUCCCUCAACGUCGUUCCUGAUCGGUGCAGGAUUGCUGCUCACUUGGUGGGUGUGUGGCAUCUACAGGGGCCUAUUUCAGCAAAAAUUGCGUAGGAAAUAUCAUUUAAGGGGGCCUUUUGUUCUUAAAAGGGCAUUAAUUUUGGUGGAGUUUUUUUGUGCAAACGUCAAGAUUCUUUUGGACAGCAUUAUGAAGGAUGGCAAUGAUAUAGCUACCAAAGAAUGAUCUGGUUCAGUUCCACAAUUCACAGGCAUACAAGAUCUCAGGUAUCAAACUCAGGUCGGUGGAUGCCGAGUUAGGCAUCGUCAACUGCAUCGUGGACUGGGUUUGCCACAAGUUUCUGACCAAGGACGGGGUGCUGGAAGUGUUGGACAAGGACACGGGUCAACUGCAGCUAUGUCCACGAGGAGAUGAUGCUGCCUGCUGGUCUUCAUGGUGGCGCUGCUGUGCACAACCCGAUGCCCGGCCGUCCGGUCAUCCAUACGUGAUGUCGUCUCCAUGCUGCAAGAAGCAUAGCCAAAGAGAAAGGUGGUAAGUGCUUAUGUUCACGACAUCGACAACCAUGGUGUAAGUAAAAGUUAGCGUUCAUGUACUAUAUUGAAAUUGAAUUGAACUGGAUUCUUUGAUCGGCCGGUGUUUCUCUUGCCUUUUUUUUUUAUUAUCUAUAUA
Molecule: RNA transcript, 1086 nt
Organism: Nymphaea colorata (pocket water lily)
Lineage: Eukaryota; Viridiplantae; Streptophyta; Magnoliopsida; Nymphaeales; Nymphaeaceae
Gene name: cell number regulator 6-like
Exons: 5
Source: RefSeq, a predicted model, not a curated record